Molecule: long non-coding RNA, 1591 nt
Organism: Dalotia coriaria
Lineage: Eukaryota; Metazoa; Arthropoda; Insecta; Coleoptera; Staphylinidae
Exons: 7
Source: RefSeq, a predicted model, not a curated record
AUUGUUAUGAUCUUAUCUCAUGUUGAUUAUAAUGUCAACCUCUAAAUAUAAGUAAACUUCAUGCGUAAAUAUCAAUUGCAUUUGAUAUUUUGAUAGAAAAUAAACAAUAAGCUACAAAAAUGAGCGGAAAUAAAGUCGUGAAGUUCUUCCAAAAAAAUGUAGUUAUGAUAUCCGGCAUUGGCAUCAUCAUUGCAACGCAUUGGGGUUGGUCUCAGCUGCAACAUAAUCCCAACCUAGUGCCAGAAGAUAAAAGAAAGGAAUUACCAAUAAUUAUUGGGUUGAAACAUCUAUCAAAUGAAGCAAUGGAAAUAAUAAAGUCAUUUUCUUCAAGUGAGACAAGUGGCAAAGCAGUUGAAAAAAAAUGAAUGAACAAAUGCAAUAGUAGCAUAUAGAAUUUGUGACAAUGUAAAUACAAUUAAACUAUUAAUUAUUUGUUAUGUAUUAAUAUAGAUUAGAAUAUUGUAAACAAAUACAAGAAGUACCGGCCAAUUUGAGUGGUGCAACCGGCAUAACUUGUUAGUGUGGUUGCAUAGGUUCUUCUGACAAACGCAUAUUUCAAUGUCAUUGCUAAACAUGCAACCAGUGCGUACAACUUUCAUGUUUAAAUCGUGACUUCCACAUCCUCUUUCUGUGAUCCUUGCUGUUUUCGAUUUGGAAGUGACCACGACCACAGAAUCUCCCACUCAUCAAAUUAUUGGGUCCACAGCAGUUUAACAUACCCUUGCAGAAUAAUAGCAGCAGUGUUAAUGUAACAUUGGCUGGGAAUGUGGUUCGUCACACUUGCGGGUUCACCAUACUUUAAUUUCACUUCUUGGAGGAUGCAAUAGAAAAUGAAGUAGCAGAUGUAGCAAGAAGUAAACAGAAAUAGCUUUAUAUGCCUUGACAUUCUGUUCCUGGAGGAUUGUUGAUUACCUUGUUCGAAAAGGUUUAAGUUUGGCAUUCUCCAAAAAGAUGAAAGACUGAUGUGAAGCAUAGAAAAUGCAUAAGGAGACUUAACAUAGAAGAAAAUGGGAGAAGGAAAAUUUCAUGAGGUGUCCUGACAGUCAUGUGAAACCAGCUCCAAAAUCCACACGUUUAUUCAGUACAAUCCUUCUCAAUGGGGGCUUCGCAAUACUGAUAGUGACCGCGUGUUGCCGACGUUAGCUGUGUGCAGAUCAGGGCACAUUCAGUGUAAUUUCGGUCACAGGGUGUACCGCGCGUGUUCAUCGCGAUUUAUUUUGUUUCUUCAGAACAUAAUUAAGUACAUCGAUUGUUAUUAAAUAAAGAAUAGGCGACAUGAACCGGAGUCGGGCGUGAUCGAGGUUUCACAAGUGCGAUGGGAUGAGUUGUAUUUUUUGAUAUUCAGUUCACGCGUGUGUGGUUCCGUCGGCUGACAGUUAUCUUCUCACAUCUAGCAAUAACUUGUAUUAAAAUAAGUUCCUGCAAAUAGACCACGAACCAUGGAGUUUACAAUAUGACGGUAGUAUUGGAGAUGUGCGUAUUUUAAGGCAAGUCUUUACUGCUGCGGGAUUUGAUAGUCGUCAAUAUUUCUUUAUUUAAAAAAUGAAUAUAUUGUUAAAUAUAAUUAAUAAAACACUAUUUAAAAUUUCAA